GGCCCUGCGCAGAGCAGGGGAUGGGGGGAGGGUGGGCUCUGUCUGUCUCCUGUCUUUGAAUGAAGCCUCUUUCAUCAGCACUUUCGAAUGCUGACACUGGCCUGCAGCUGCUUGUUCAAGGAAUCACACUGGCGAUUUUUGCAUGUUUGACACUUUGUUACUCGGAGGGAGGGGACAGGCUGGCAGAAUCAGAGGAUGCUUUUGCUUUUGGAAUGAGGGUCUCGGGACUUUGUGACGCAGGUCCUGUGUCGACCUGGACGCCAUCGGGGACAUGUCUUUCCAGACCGGAGGGUGUCCAGCCCGCAGGCAGGCAGGCCCAGGCCCCUUGGGCAAGAAAGGGAAACUGCAGACUCAUGUUUCUUGCUUCAGCUGGAGCCUGUUGCCACAGGAAGAAGCCCCUUCUGGAGGUGUCCUUGACCCCCAACACCUGCGAGGAGCUGAGUCACCUCCGUUAUGACCUCAGGGCUCUCCUCCUCCAGAGCAUCUCAGAGACCAGAGGAAAAAGCCCACGGAAACCACCCAACCAAACAACAACAGCAGAAAGGGAAGAAGUGACAACUGGACACCUUCUGGGGCUCCACCUUCAGUCCUGACCCGCCAGCCAAACUCUGCUGCACUCGACGGUCACCACGGAGUCCUGUCCUGGGGCUACUGUGAGUAACAAAAGUACCACAGACUGGUGGGGAAGAAAUGUG
This is a non-coding RNA of Odocoileus virginianus texanus, 695 nucleotides long. Lineage: Eukaryota; Metazoa; Chordata; Mammalia; Artiodactyla; Cervidae. The record is from RefSeq and is a predicted model, not a curated record.